AAAUUGAAGAGUUUGAUCAUGGCUCAGAUUGAACGCUGGCGGCAGGCCUAACACAUGCAAGUCGAACGGUAACAGGAAACAGCUUGCUGUUUCGCUGACGAGUGGCGGACGGGUGAGUAAUGUCUGGGAAACUGCCUGAUGGAGGGGGAUAACUACUGGAAACGGUAGCUAAUACCGCAUAACGUCGCAAGACCAAAGAGGGGGACCUUCGGGCCUCUUGCCAUCAGAUGUGCCCAGAUGGGAUUAGCUAGUAGGUGGGGUAACGGCUCACCUAGGCGACGAUCCCUAGCUGGUCUGAGAGGAUGACCAGCCACACUGGAACUGAGACACGGUCCAGACUCCUACGGGAGGCAGCAGUGGGGAAUAUUGCACAAUGGGCGCAAGCCUGAUGCAGCCAUGC
This 400-nucleotide ribosomal RNA is filed under the name Escherichia coli. RNAcentral describes it as "bacterial SSU rRNA". It matches the Rfam family "Bacterial small subunit ribosomal RNA", at positions 1 to 397 of the family's 1533-position model. The record is from RNAcentral. Lineage: Bacteria; Pseudomonadati; Pseudomonadota; Gammaproteobacteria; Enterobacterales; Enterobacteriaceae.